Molecule: long non-coding RNA, 2679 nt
Organism: Oncorhynchus tshawytscha (Chinook salmon)
Lineage: Eukaryota; Metazoa; Chordata; Actinopteri; Salmoniformes; Salmonidae
Source: Ensembl
GGAACUCACUGAUGUGUGUGAGUGUUCUUUAGAAUGCUGAUGGAACUCACUGAUGUGUGUGAACUCACUGUGUUCUUUAGAAUGCUGAUGGAACUCACUGAUGUGUGUGAGCGUUCUUUAGAAUGCUGAUGGAACUCACUGAUGAGUGUGAGUGUUCUUUAGAAUGCUGAUGGAACUCACUGAUGUGUGUGAGUGUUCUUUAGAAUGCUGAUGGAACUCACUGAUGUGUGUGAGUGUUCUUUAGAAUGCUGAUGGAACUCACUGAUGAGUGUGAGUGUUCUUUAGAAUGCUGAUGGAACUCACUGAUGUGUGUGAGCGUUCUUUAGAAUGCUGAUGGAACUCACUGAUGAGUGUGAGUGUUCUUUAGAAUGCUGAUGGAACUCACUGAUGUGUGUGAGUGUUCUUUAGAAUGCUGAUGGAACUCACUGAUGAGUGUGAGUGUUCUUUAGAAUGCUGAUGGAACUCACUGAUGAGUGUUCUGGUUGACUGUAAUAAUGUAUUUGUGUUGUAGUAAUGUAGUGUUUCUGUAACUGCUGCUUUUUGCUGUUUUAUUAAAUGAUCAUAUUGAAUAGUUUGUUCUCAGGGCACCACUGAGACGCUGAUUUAAAUUGGGCUUCCCUGAACACAUACAAGUUUAAUAAAAAACACACACCUAGGAGCCCGACCAAACCCUGACACUCUUAGUCCAACCAUCCGUCCUUCUCUCCAUCUCCUCUCCUCAUCCCUCCUCUUCUCUCCAUCUCUCCGUCUCUCCUCCCCUGAGAGAAGGGGUAGGAGAGGAGAUGGAGAGAAGAGAAUCCUUACCCUAACCCUCAUACUAACACUAACUUUUCAACCCUAAUUCUGACUUGUAAUUGUAACCAUAAAACUUCAAAUAGCCUUUUUCCUUGUGGGGACCGGCAAAAUCUUCCCACUUGUCUGAAUGUUCCUUGUUUUCCUUAUGGUACCCCCAAUGAGAGUAAAAAAAACACACACACACACUCUCUCUUCUCCUCCUCUCUCUCUCUUUCUCUUCUCUUUCUUUCUCCCUCUUUCUCUUCUCUUUCUUUCUCCCUCUUUCUCUUCUCUUUCUUUCUCCCUCUUUCUCUUCUCCUUCUUUCUCUUCUCUUUCUUUCUCUUUCUCUUUCUCUUUCUCUCUCUUUCUCUUUCUCUUUCUCUUUCUCUUCUCUUCUCCCGCCCCUAUGGAAUCCAUGGACUAGUCAAGCUCUGUAGCAAACUUCUACUACUGGGCUGAAGGAGGAGGGGGCAAUGGAGGAAGGAAGAACAGAGGAGGGAGAGGGAGGUAGAGAAGAGGGAGAGGGAGAGAGAUGGAGAGAAGAGGGAGGAGAGAAUCAGAAGUAUCAUUCUCUGAAUGUAAAUAGAAGCUGAAGAUUGUUAUUUAUCUGAUCAUUAUUUGAUCAUUUCAAUUGAUCCUUUUUCAAAGUGAUUAGUUUAAUGUAACUUGGUUUUGUAGCUCCCACUGCUCUCUUCAGUUAGACUGCUGUUCCUGUGUGUCCUCAUAUCUAUGAUAAUCAUCAUCACAACCUGGAUGGUUUCACUCUUUCUGUAUUGGCUUGUAGUCCAGACGCUUGUGUUUAGAUCCUAGAAAUUCUUUCAACUUAUGUUUCUGUAUGUUAGAUAAACAGCAGCUAUAGAUUAUUGAUAAGAAAUGUCAUCUGUAGAACAAUUUAUUAGUUAACAUUGAUAAGAAAUGUCAUCUGUAGAACAAUUUAUUAGUUAACAUUGAUAAGAAAUGUCAUCUGUAGAACAAUUUAUUAGUUAACAUUGAUAAGAAAUGUCAUCUGUAACAAUUCAUUAGUUAACAUUGAUAAGAAAUGUCAUAUCUGUAAAACAAAAAGGGCAAACCAAAGUUCAGUCAACGUUAAAAGAACAUGACAUCAUCAUUACAUCAUCGCCAGGAGUAGAAGCUCAACGCAUCACGUCUUUUGAAAAGUGGGCAGGGCAAAGAGGAACAGGAGAGAAACCUGUUUGGCCCAGAGCACAGAGGCCAGUUUGGGGUGUUGUUCCAGGUAUAGCAGUGUCCCUGGGCAUCUCAGAAGAUUGAUAUGUCAUAUUAAUGUGGUUGAACACUUUUAAUGGCAUUGUGAACAGAGAGACUGCAAUAUAGACAAACUGGAAUGAACCCAAUACGCUCUACAGACUCCUCUCUGGUCUUGUCCAGCCUCUGCUCUAUGCUAGUCGGUACUAGGAAAGUUAGACAUUUCCGACUUGCUAAUUUGUUGAAUAUGGCAAGUACAACAAUUAGCAUGCAAGAGAUUUUGGAGUUUCCUAGUUCCGACUAAGAAGUUAAUGUGUCAGGCUGUCAGGCUGUCUGGGUCAAUUCAGUUUGGAAGUAAUGAGGUGAAAAAUCCUCUUAGAAAUCAAUUGGAAAUGAACCUGUCUGUCUGUCUGUCUGUCUGUCUGUCACAGCCUUCUUUUACAACUAUAAACACAGAGAAAAACAACAAAAACUACAAAAGGGAAAUCUUUAAAUAUGAAUAUUUUACAAUAACCAAUAAGUAUAUGACUAAUAUUAAUAAUAAUAUCAACAUUAAUACUGAAGUCUCACAUAGGUACUGGGGGAGGAAGGGAGGGAUGAACACAGAGGGGAGGGUUAAACAACUGAUAUUGUACCUGCUUGUUGUGUAUCUUAUUAAUUAACCCCACAGCUAAUAAUAAACUGGGACUAUGCAUAACCAA